RNAcentral lists this long non-coding RNA (3856 nucleotides) under Mus musculus (house mouse). Its description in RNAcentral is "long non-coding RNA chr13:8282247-8286103". Lineage: Eukaryota; Metazoa; Chordata; Mammalia; Rodentia; Muridae. The record is from RNAcentral.
GGGGGCAAGCAAGUGAAGAACUGGAGCCUAGUCUAGCAUACAGCAUUGCUGUCUGGAUGGGAGUGCUGUGAAAUGCUGAGAAGGUCCUGUGACAGUCUGAAGUGCAACCACUCGGGCAUUCCCAGUACAUUAAUGAUUGUAACUUUCUAUCUGUUUCCUAGUAUACACUGAUAGAACAUUUAUUCUCUUAAUUUACUUGUUCUAAAGAACUCAUGUUUUCCACUGCUGUUUUUCUAAAGUGUCGUGGGAACCAUAUAUAUUGAAAGACAGGAUGAAUGGAGAGAGCAGUCUAUUCGCAGACGGGCUCCUGCUGGGAAUCUCUAGGUUGGGUUUAAGUGAUAAGUCUCAACAGUCAGGAAUCAGAAUUCCUAUGUGGGUCAUCACCAUCAAAGAUACAGAAAAAGCAAAAUCAGCAGUAGCCCCGGCUCCUCUCUAAUUCUGAGUACUUGGGACCCAGAAGCUCAGGAUAUAUACCACAUUGUUCUUGGUGCCUUUAUUUAUUACAUGAAUCAUGUUUCAUAAAUGCUAAUAGUUAUUACAAAUGGCAAAAAAACAUUUAUCUAAAAUUCCUGUAUGUUUGAGAAAUGCAUUUUGUUCACACAAGACUACAAUUCCUGAUUUAUAAGAUAAUUCUGGAAACAUCAGUCAGCCAGGAAAGAUAGCUAUAUGGAUUUUAUAGAUGAAAUCAGCAGACCGGGUAGGGCUGACAGUGGAAAUGAGCCUAGCUGUCAGGUGGCAGGAGUGUGGCUUCCCUCCUUCAUAGCAAACAAUAAUACGUGGCUCAAGGUGUGUCUCUAUGGAUUUGUGAAGUAUAGAAAAGUGGCUGCCAGAGUAGUCCCAUCAGUGGUAGCCAAGGAUGCACCUUUGGAAAUUGUGGAGCUAGGGCAGCACAUGUGAAGAACUCCCAAGAAGAUACGAUUUAUUCUGUGCUGUUUGUUUAAGCACAUGAAUUUCCUAAUGGAGCCAUCAGACCUUGCUUAUUGGCUAAUAGUUUAAUUAGGCCCAUCUGGAGGAUGCUGUGGUGAAAACUGCCCCAGCUCUGAUAGUGGCAGGGAUGUAAUUUGUCAUUCUGUGGCCAAUGACUGGCACACUCCCAGCCCUAAUGCCAUGCAGGAGUAGUGCUGACUGUCUCAUGGGGAGACAGAUAGCACCUGAGACAUUUUGUGGUUCACCUUGGUGCAGAAGGAAUUACAGGUGAUACUCAAAGUCCUUGAGCUAACCUCAACAAGGUAAGACAGACUUUCUAAAAGUCACACGGAGACUGCUGUCAGCCAUCCCAGGAGAAAGACUUUUCCAUCACACGUAGCUAAAUCAUUGUGGUGUUCUAGCCUUUGACAGAGACUGUCCUGCUCUCAGCUGACAGAAGACAUCAGGUGGCUAAGAAAACAAGGGACAUGCAUCUUUCUCAAGUAUGACAUUAAAUGUCAGGCCUUCAUCCACACUACCUGUGCAAGACUACACCACAGCAAGUAAAUAGACAAUUGAAAUUUCAUAUCAUGAAAGACAUUGCUGAUUUUCAAGGUGAGUGAGGUCCUUGGGCAAUGAGUAUAAGAGAAAAAUUGAAUUAAACCUUCCAUGGACCAAUAAUAUCAUUGAUUUCUGAUGUAUUUAGACUAGCGUCUGACACUUAAGAUCUAAUGGUUCUGCAGGGUGUGGUGGCGCACGCCUUUAAUCCCAACACUCAGAAGGCAGAGGCAGGUGGAUUUCUGAGUUCGAGGCCUGCCUUGUCUACAAAGUGAGUUCCAGGACAGCCAGGGCUACACAGAGAAACCCUGUCUCGAACCCCCCCCCCCAAAAAAGAUCUAAUGGUUCUAUGAGUUCCACGAAGAAAAGACUUGGAGGUUCCCCUGAUACCGUGUGGGUUUUUGGUUUGUUUGUUUGUUUGUUUGUCUUAUGUUUUUCAAAUCUGCUUACCUUGCAGCUAUGUCCUUACUCUUCUGUGUGCCUUUGUAGCCUUCUCCUCUCACACCACUCUGAAAGUACAUAGCUGGUCAAAUAUCUCAUCAAAGUGUUUUUACCAUCUCAUAAUGUGGAUGCUGACUUAACCAGAGUAUCAGCAGGCUCCCAUUGCAAAGCCAGCAUUUUUUUUUCAUCUUUAAGUGACAUAGACUGAGAUUGAGUAGCUUCUAGAAACACUCAGGGAUGCCCCUCAAAACACAUAUACAAGCUGGCCUAUAAAUCUCUCUCUUUUGAAGAACUAUCAUUGAACUUUAUGUUUCAAGGGGAAAUGUGGAGUAGGGAGAGAAUCCCAUGGCAACUAUUACAGUAUUCAUGGCUCCAUUCUGUGCAGGCACCAAUAGCUGCAGCACAUGUGUGGGGUGGCUUUAAAGACCUUCAAAAAGAGUUUGUAAUUAUAUUGAUAAGGUUUGUAGUAGGGUUUUGAGUUUUUUUGCUUUUUGAGGACUUCUUAUUUGAGCCUAGUAUCUAUACCAUUCCUGUGUCUCUCUCCCCUAACCAAUUUUUUCCAAUCUCUUCUUUAAUGAGUAUUGUUGCAUAUAUAAUACACAGGUAUCUACAGGUACAUAUGUUUAAAACAUACUAGUCCACUGACUAUUGUUACUACGUACAUGUGUCCAGGACUGACCCCUUAGACUUGGACAACUAUGUGGGCACUUAGAUGGGAGAAAACUGAUCCUCACUUUCCCAGCAGUCAUUGAUCACCUGUAGCUCUUCAUCCAGGAAUGUGAACAUGUGGAAUUUCCCAUGUCCACAUUGGUAUAUCAACAAUAUUGUCACUAUGACAGUCUCAUUUUGGCAACCAUAUUGUUGACACAUGGGUUGAUCUACUUGCACUGUCUGGGGGACACUGUUUAACAGAAGUCACCUUACACCUCCAUCUUUCCAUCACCUCUCCUGCAAUUUCCCUUUAGUGUUAUAAAUAGUAGUUGCAUUGCAGAUGUACCAGAUGGGUUGGGCACAUACAAUCACUUGCUCUCUCCAUUCUGAACAGUCAUAUAUUUUGCAAAGGUACAAGACAAAAUGAGUAGCUAGCCCUAGUGAAAUUACAAAAGCCAGACUUCUAAACCAUCCUGUUUACAUAACCAACCACCACCCUUCACUUGGGAUGUGAUUUCUGAAAUCACUUUGGCAAUAAUUAAAUGCACACCAUUAAUUGAAGAAUGUUAGGAGAAGUUGAGAAUUUUUUUCCUACCUGCCCAAAUCGCUAUGACAUGUAAAUGGUAUAAUGGAAGCCAGUGGCAAGGUGAGUCAGUAAGUGGAAUAGGAACUGGAAUCAGAUAGUAUCCACAACUCUCAGUAGUUUCUGCUGAGACAUACCCACACUGAUCUAAGGACGAGAGUUCUACCAAACUAGAAAUUUUUGACAGCCUAUCUUAGCUACCUGCUCAUUUUAAAGUGUGGGUACUUCCAAGGCAAUUCACAAAUUAGAUUUUGUUUUUGUAUGCCUAAACACUUAAGACACUAAAGAAAUUAAAAGAAAGGAAAAACGGCUCAGGAGUUAAGAGUGCUACUUCUCACAAGCAAUCAGUGGUGCACAGAUUCUAUGAUCCCGACUCCUGGUUUCCUCUGCUAAAAUAGAGAAUCACAGCAGUGCCUGCCACAAGGCUGUGGCACUAACUCAAAGUCUCUGUGCAUAGAAGAUAGCUUUAAAAUAGAUGAAACAGAAAAACUGCUUGUUAAUUAGUCAUUACCUGUGCUGCUGCAAGCUCACACUCACGAGUACGAGGAUCUGUUAGUAUAACUAUAGGCUUAGCUUCCAAUGGUGCAGUCAAGUGGGAAAACAACAAAACUAGUAGAAGAGGGGGUGUGUCUGACAAGUUACACUGGUGCUCCAGCUCUCUUGAUGGAACAUGAACACAAACCAGUUCUUAGGCACAUGCUUACUUUCUAAAGCUAC